AUGGUUACUCUGUCUAAACAAGACGUGACAUAAAAUGAAUGAAAAAUCAAGGAAGUAAUACAUAAUACAAUACCGAAAUAGUGACGGCUUCCGUAGGAAUCACUUAGUAGCUUGUGAAAGAAAAAAAGAGAGUAGUUUAUGGUCUUUCUCACAAUUUGUAUUUCUCGUGUUUUAGGGAGACAACUGGGGCUUCAAUGAAUCCAGUGAGAACCCUCGGACCAGCAGUAGCAGUAGGAAACUAUAAAGCCAUCUGGAUCUACCUUACUGCUCCGAUUCUUGGCGCUCUCAUUGGGGCAGGCGUUUACUCUGCUGUCAAACUACCUGAUGAAGACAGAGACAAUCAUCCAAAGCCUUCCCGAAUCAUCUGAUUCAUUUUUUUUAUUCCAAGCAACAGAUUAAACCAUCUGGAGUACUUUAGCUUGAACAGAUUGAUCGGGUCUCCGGCGUAUGAAGGAUGAUUUGUACAGAGAAAAUGCGAGAGCAGCGAUAAGAGUACCAAAGACGUCGGCAACAGCGUCCUUGGUAGAUGCACCUGCUGACCUGAAAAAACCCAGUUCGUCGGCAACCUCCUUAGCGGCGCCGGCAGCGAGUGAAACAAUAGAUCCGACCCAGAUGCUCCGGCGGCGGAUGAAAGAGUAGCGAGUUCUUUCCGCGAGAAAAGAUGAAAUGAUAGCAAUGAAGAAGCAGAAGAGUAUGUGGUAGAGCUUAUCAGGGGCUGUCCAAUCAUCUCCUUCCUCCAUUCCUUCUUUCAG
RNAcentral lists this unclassified non-coding RNA (752 nucleotides) under Hevea brasiliensis (rubber tree). Lineage: Eukaryota; Viridiplantae; Streptophyta; Magnoliopsida; Malpighiales; Euphorbiaceae. The record is from RNAcentral.